AUUGAACGCUGGCGGCAUGCCUUACACAUGCAAGUCGAACGGUAACGGGCCUUCGGGUGCCGACGAGUGGCGCACGGGUGAGUAAUACAUCGGAACGUGCCCGAUCGUGGGGGAUAACGAGGCGAAAGCUUUGCUAAUACCGCAUACGAUCUACGGAUGAAAGCAGGGGACCGCAAGGCCUUGCGCGGACGGAGCGGCCGAUGGCAGAUUAGGUAGUUGGUGGGAUAAAAGCUUACCAAGCCGACGAUCUGUAGCUGGUCUGAGAGGAUGAUCAGCCACACUGGGACUGAGACACGGCCCAGACUCCUACGGGAGGCAGCAGUGGGGAAUUUUGGACAAUGGGCGCAAGCCUGAUCCAGCCAUGCCGCGUGCAGGAUGAAGGCCUUCGGGUUGUAAAAUGCUUUUGUACGGAACGAAAAGCCUUCUUUUAAUACAGGAGGGUCAUGACGGUACCGUAAGAAUAAGCACCGGCUAACUACGUG
This 482-nucleotide ribosomal RNA is filed under the name uncultured bacterium. RNAcentral describes it as "partial 16S ribosomal RNA". It matches the Rfam family "Bacterial small subunit ribosomal RNA", at positions 30 to 507 of the family's 1533-position model. The record is from RNAcentral.